Molecule: ribosomal RNA, 1382 nt
Filed under: Microbacterium sp.
Lineage: Bacteria; Bacillati; Actinomycetota; Actinomycetes; Micrococcales; Microbacteriaceae
Description: bacterial SSU rRNA
Rfam family: Bacterial small subunit ribosomal RNA
Source: RNAcentral
UCGAACGGUGAAGCCCCGCUUGCGGGGUGGAUCAGUGGCGAACGGGUGAGUAACACGUGAGCAACCUGCCCCUGACUCUGGGAUAAGCGCUGGAAACGGCGUCUAAUACUGGAUACGAGACGUGAUCGCAUGGUCAACGUUUGGAAAGAUUUUUCGGUUGGGGAUGGGCUCGCGGCCUAUCAGCUUGUUGGUGAGGUAAUGGCUCACCAAGGCGUCGACGGGUAGCCGGCCUGAGAGGGUGACCGGCCACACUGGGACUGAGACACGGCCCAGACUCCUACGGGAGGCAGCAGUGGGGAAUAUUGCACAAUGGGCGCAAGCCUGAUGCAGCAACGCCGCGUGAGGGAUGACGGCCUUCGGGUUGUAAACCUCUUUUAGCAGGGAAGAAGCGAGAGUGACGGUACCUGCAGAAAAAGCACCGGCUAACUACGUGCCAGCAGCCGCGGUAAUACGUAGGGUGCAAGCGUUAUCCGGAAUUAUUGGGCGUAAAGAGCUCGUAGGCGGUUUGUCGCGUCUGCUGUGAAAUCUGGGGGCUCAACCCCCAGCCUGCAGUGGGUACGGGCAGACUAGAGUGCGGUAGGGGAGAUUGGAAUUCCUGGUGUAGCGGUGGAAUGCGCAGAUAUCAGGAGGAACACCGAUGGCGAAGGCAGAUCUCUGGGCCGUAACUGACGCUGAGGAGCGAAAGGGUGGGGAGCAAACAGGCUUAGAUACCCUGGUAGUCCACCCCGUAAACGUUGGGAACUAGUUGUGGGGUCCAUUCCACGGAUUCCGUGACGCAGCUAACGCAUUAAGUUCCCCGCCUGGGGAGUACGGGCCGCAAGGCUAAAACUCAAAGGAAUUGACGGGGACCCGCACAAGCGGCGGAGCAUGCGGAUUAAUUCGAUGCAACGCGAAGAACCUUACCAAGGCUUGACAUAUACGAGAACGGGCCAGAAAUGGUCAACUCUUUGGACACUCGUAAACAGGUGGUGCAUGGUUGUCGUCAGCUCGUGUCGUGAGAUGUUGGGUUAAGUCCCGCAACGAGCGCAACCCUCGUUCUAUGUUGCCAGCACGUAAUGGUGGGAACUCAUGGGAUACUGCCGGGGUCAACUCGGAGGAAGGUGGGGAUGACGUCAAAUCAUCAUGCCCCUUAUGUCUUGGGCUUCACGCAUGCUACAAUGGCCGGUACAAUGGGCUGCAAUACCGUGAGGUGGAGCGAAUCCCAAAAAGCCGGUCCCAGUUCGGAUUGAGGUCUGCAACUCGACCUCAUGAAGUCGGAGUCGCUAGUAAUCGCAGAUCAGCAACGCUGCGGUGAAUACGUUCCCGGGUCUUGUACACACCGCCCGUCAAGUCAUGAAAGUCGGUAACACCUGAAGCCGGUGGCCUAACCCUUCGGGGAGGGA